Molecule: ribosomal RNA, 458 nt
Filed under: uncultured bacterium
Lineage: Bacteria
Description: bacterial SSU rRNA
Rfam family: Bacterial small subunit ribosomal RNA
Source: RNAcentral
GAUGAACGCUAGCGGCAGGCCUAAUACAUGCAAGCCGAACGGCAAGUCUUUUAGCAAUAGAAGACCUAGAGUGGCGUAAGGGUGCGUAACACGUAUGCAAUCUGCCCUCAACAGGAGGAUAGCUCCCCGAAAGGGGAAUUAAGCCUCCAUAGGAUCGUAAUGUGGCAUCACAUAGCGAUUAAACUACCAGGGGUUGAGGAUGAGCAUGCGCAUGAUUAGUUAGUUGGCGGGGUAACGGCCCACCAAGACGAUGAUCAUUAGGGGAACUGAGAGGUUGAUCCCCCACACUGGCAACUGGAGAUACGGGGCCAGACUCCUACGGGAGGCAGCAGUAGGGGAAUAUUGGGACAAUGGGUGGCAAGCCUGAUCCAGCCAUGCCGCGUGCAGGAGAAAGCUUCUGGUGUAAACUGCUUUUGCCAGGGGAUAAAAACAACUUUGCGAAGUGGAUUGAAGGUACC